Molecule: transfer RNA, 85 nt
Filed under: Amycolatopsis antarctica
Lineage: Bacteria; Bacillati; Actinomycetota; Actinomycetes; Pseudonocardiales; Pseudonocardiaceae
Rfam family: tRNA
About the family: Transfer RNA (tRNA) molecules are approximately 80 nucleotides in length. Their secondary structure includes four short double-helical elements and three loops (D, anti-codon, and T loops). Further hydrogen bonds mediate the characteristic L-shaped molecular structure. tRNAs have two regions of fundamental functional importance: the anti-codon, which is responsible for specific mRNA codon recognition, and the 3' end, to which the tRNAs corresponding amino acid is attached (by aminoacyl-tRNA synthetases). tRNAs cope with the degeneracy of the genetic code in two manners: having more than one tRNA (with a specific anti-codon) for a particular amino acid; and 'wobble' base-pairing, i.e. permitting non-standard base-pairing at the 3rd anti-codon position.
Source: Rfam by way of RNAcentral
GGAAGCGUGGCAGAGCGGCCGAAUGCAUUCGCCUUGAAAGCGAACGUGGGGCAACCCACCGGGGGUUCAAAUCCCUCCGCUUCCG